GACGAACGCUGGCGGCGUGCUUAACACAUGCAAGUCACGGGGGCCCGGUAGCAAUAUCGGGCAACCGGCGAACGGGUGCGUAACACGUGAGCAAUCUGCCGAUCUCUGGGGGAUAGCCGGCCCAACGGCCGGGUAAUACCGCAUACGCUCAUCGGGGGACAUCCCCUGGUGAGGAAACCUCCGGGGGAGAUCGAGGAGCUCGCGACCUAUCAGCUAGUUGGCGAGGUAAUGGCUCACCAAGGCUACGACGGGUAGCUGGUCUGAGAGGAUGGCCAGCCACAUUGGGACUGCGACACGGCCCAGACUCCUACGGGAGGCAGCAGUGGGGAAUAUUGCGCAAUGGACGAAAGUCUGACGCAGCGACGCCGCGUGUGGGAUGAAGCUC
RNAcentral lists this ribosomal RNA (385 nucleotides) under uncultured bacterium. RNAcentral describes it as "bacterial SSU rRNA". It matches the Rfam family "Bacterial small subunit ribosomal RNA", at positions 28 to 416 of the family's 1533-position model. The record is from RNAcentral.